RNAcentral lists this ribosomal RNA (403 nucleotides) under Verrucomicrobiota bacterium. RNAcentral's name for it is "Verrucomicrobia bacterium partial 16S ribosomal RNA". It matches the Rfam family "Bacterial small subunit ribosomal RNA", at positions 355 to 776 of the family's 1533-position model. Lineage: Bacteria; Pseudomonadati; Verrucomicrobiota. The record is from RNAcentral.
UGGGGAAUAUUGCACAAUGGGCGCAAGCCUGAUGCAGCGACGCCGCGUGAACGAUGAAGGUCUUCGGAUCGUAAAGUUCUGUUGCAGGGGAAGAUAAUGACGGUACCCUGUGAGGAAGCCCCGGCUAACUACGUGCCAGCAGCCGCGGUAAUACGUAGGGGGCUAGCGUUAUCCGGAUUUACUGGGCGUAAAGGGUGCGUAGGUGGUCUUUCAAGUCGGUGGUUAAAGGCUACGGCUCAACCGUAGUUAGCCUCCGAAACUGGAAGACUUGAGUGCAGGAGAGGAAAGUGGAAUUCCCAGUGUAGCGGUGAAAUGCGUAGAUAUUGGGAGGAACACCAGUAGCGAAGGCGGCUUUCUGGACUGCAACUGACACUGAGGCACGAAAGCGUGGGUAGCAAACAGG